Neolamprologus brichardi is the source of this 361-nucleotide non-coding RNA. The record is from RefSeq and is a predicted model, not a curated record. Lineage: Eukaryota; Metazoa; Chordata; Actinopteri; Cichliformes; Cichlidae.
GAGAGGCUUCUCUAUUUUUUGGAAAUUAAGGUUCAUUCAGGCAGUUUAGUUAUCACCUUAAUUACUGCAGACAAAAACACAUUUUCCUUCCAAGCUGCCAACCUCGCCCCUCCCAUCCUUCCUCUUGCUCAGUAAGUAAAGAUGGGAAAGUGAAAGCUAGAAAGUCCAUAGCUUGGCCACAGCUUUGGUUUGACCCUUCAAAUUUGGAAGUGGAACAUCUUGACAAAAAGAAUUAUAUCAGCAGUUCUGCUACAGAAAUGAAUGAACAUGAAAAAGCAGAAUUUGUUGAUAGAAACAGGAAAACGUUAAUCCAUGAAGUUUCUGAAGUGCUGGCGAUAGCAGAAGAGCUUGGAGACCUGGU